This 462-nucleotide ribosomal RNA is filed under the name uncultured bacterium. Its description in RNAcentral is "partial 16S ribosomal RNA". It matches the Rfam family "Bacterial small subunit ribosomal RNA", at positions 28 to 507 of the family's 1533-position model. The record is from RNAcentral.
GAUGAACGCUGACAGAAUGCUUAACACAUGCAAGUCAUUGGCGAAGCUGCGCUUGCGCAGUCUAGCCAAGGCGGACGGGUGAGUAACGCGUAAGGAACUUGCCCUGCAGACAGGGAUAACAGACGUAAACGACUGAUAACACCUGGUAUUGUCAGGCUGGCGCAUGCCGGCCUGAUGAAAGGAGACGCUGCAGGAGAGCCUUGCGUCCUAUUAGCUAGUUGGUGGGGUAACGGCCCACCAAGGCGAGGAUAGGUAGCCGGCCUGAGAGGGUGAACGGCCACAAGGGGACGGAGAUACGGCCCUUACUCCUACGGGAGGCAGCAGGGGGGAAUAUUGGACAAUGGGGGCAACCCUGAUCCAGGAAUUCGGUGUGCACGAAGAAGGUUUUCGGAUUGUAAAGUGCUUUCAGCAGGGAAGAAGAAAGUGACGGUACCUGAAGAAGAAGCGACGGCUAAAUACGUG